Molecule: ribosomal RNA, 431 nt
Filed under: uncultured bacterium
Lineage: Bacteria
Description: partial 16S ribosomal RNA
Rfam family: Bacterial small subunit ribosomal RNA
Source: RNAcentral
CCUACGGGAGGCAGCAGUAGGGAAUCUUGCGCAAUGGGCGAAAGCCUGACGCAGCGACGCCGCGUGAGGGAAGAAGGCCUUAGGGUUGUAAACCUCUUUCAGGAGGGACGCGGUACCUCCAGAAGAAGCCCCGGCUAACUACAUGCCAGCAGCCGCGGUAAUACGUAGGGGGCAAGCGUUGUCCGGAUUUAUUGGGCGUAAAGAGCGUGUAGGCGGCCAAGCAGUCAGCUGUGAAAACUCGAGGCUCAACCUCGAGACGUCGGUUGAAACCGCUUGGCUAGAGUCCGGAAGAGGAGAGUGGAAUUCCCGGUGUAGCGGUGAAAUGCGCAGAUAUCGGGAAGAACACCCGUGGCGAAGGCGGCUCUCUGGGACGGACUGACGCUGAGACGCGAAAGCGUGGGGAGCGAACAGGAUUAGAUACCCUUGUAGUC